RNAcentral lists this ribosomal RNA (407 nucleotides) under uncultured bacterium. Its description in RNAcentral is "partial 16S ribosomal RNA". It matches the Rfam family "Bacterial small subunit ribosomal RNA", at positions 30 to 526 of the family's 1533-position model. The record is from RNAcentral.
AUUGAACGCUGGCGGCAGGCCUAACACAUGCAAGUCGAGCGGAGCGGCGGACGGGUGAGUAAUGCCUAGGAAUCUGCCUGGUAGUGGGGGAUAACGUCCGGAAACGGGCGCUAAUACCGCAUACUAUCAGAUGAGCCUAGGCCGGAUUAGCUAGUGGGUGGGGUAAAGGCUUACCAAGGCGACGAUCCGUAACCGGUCUGAGAGGAUGAUCAGUCACGCUGGAACUGAGACACCGUCCAGACUCCUACGGUAGGCCGCCAUGGGGAAUAUUGGACAAUGGGCGAAAGCCUGCUCCAGCCGUGCCGCGUGUGUAAAGAAGGUCUUCGGAUUGUCAAGUACUUUAGGUUGGGAGGCGUUACCAACAGAAUAAGCACCGGCUAACUUCGUGCCAGCAGCCGCGGUAAUUC